GAAUAGGAUGAUGUCACCCAGAACUCACCCAAGUUAGAAGCUAAGGAGGAUUGGGCUUGAUUAGUACUUGCAUGGGAGACCACUAGAAAAUCCUAGAGAUCUCC
This 104-nucleotide ribosomal RNA is filed under the name Pogona vitticeps (central bearded dragon). Lineage: Eukaryota; Metazoa; Chordata; Lepidosauria; Squamata; Agamidae. The record is from RNAcentral.